Molecule: transfer RNA, 74 nt
Filed under: Allofournierella sp.
Lineage: Bacteria; Bacillati; Bacillota; Clostridia; Eubacteriales; Oscillospiraceae
Also listed under: 7 other names
Description: Fournierella sp. tRNA-Gly
Rfam family: tRNA
About the family: Transfer RNA (tRNA) molecules are approximately 80 nucleotides in length. Their secondary structure includes four short double-helical elements and three loops (D, anti-codon, and T loops).
Source: RNAcentral
GCGGGGUUAGUACAUCGGUAGUGCGUCGGCUUCCCAAGCCGAACAGGCGGGUUCGACUCCCGUACCCCGCUCCA